GGGCUCCGAAAGGAGAGCGUGGUGUCUGGAGGUGAUCGGAAGGGACUGGCUGGAGUGUGGCGGGCUGACAGGUCUGAGGCCUGAAGGACUUCCGGGAACCGCAAAGCACGGUGUGCCUCCGCUGUCCUGAAGAAAAAGCCGCGCGCGGACGACUGGCCGGCCCGCGCUUGCAGCUCCCAGAAGUUGACAGGCAUCCUCCGGUGACCGGUGUGAGUAUGGCAUCAGGAUGAUUUGACUGCAAGCAACAGAAAAAUCAAACAAAAAUGGCCUAAGCCAAGAAGAGAAAUGAUUAUUUCACAUUCCAAGAAGUUUGGGAGUCGAGUGGUUAAACGGCUAAUUAAUCUAGAGCUCAACAGUAUCACCCAGGACCCAUUUUCACUAUGGUGGCUAAAGCUCUGCACCCUUCAGGCUUGCACCAUGGCAGCAGCAGUGACAGUAAAGACACCCUUACACCACAAUGCUCCAUGACCAGGGAGAGGGUCUCCUCUCUCCUGCCCCUUUCUGGAGGCUCCACCGAAGAUUUCUCUUCACAUUCCGUUUCUCAUUCCUGAAGCAGUUGCUGGCAACAGGGAUGGACUUACCGCAAUGGGUACAGAGCAACUAAGAUUCACCACUAGCAGAUCUGCAUUGUAAGAAAAAUGAGAAGAAUUCCUUCAGGAAGAAGAAAAAUGAUACCAGAUGGAUAUGUGGAUCCACAUAAAGGAACGAAGAGCACAGGAAAUAGUAACUAUACUGGUUUCCUUCGUCAGUCCAGGCAGGACUGUGCGGUUGGAAAAGGGACGGAUGCUGGUCCUGGAAGGGGCGUCGUUAUCUAGAAGCUCCCAACCUAAGUGGGUGACUCAUAGGGAGGGCAAGGAGAGAAGGACACAGCAAGCAACUUACAUGUAAAACAAGACGUGUGGGUUAUUAUGGAAGAAAUUCACAACCAAACUUGGGGUUAGCCCGUAUUGUUUUCCAAGAACUCUAUGUGGACAGUGACAAAAAACAGACCUAAGAACUAGCAGACUGGGCAAAGCUUUUUCACAUAACAACAACAAAAAAAGCAAUUCCUCAGGAAAAAAUGGUCAAUGGGUCAUUGUGUGUAGACAAAACUACAAGUUCUGCUCCAGACUCUGGGGAAACCAUGCUGCCAUCUUCAAGCUGUGGCCAUUCUGUAAUACAGACUACGCUAAAUCACAUGUUGUCAUCAAGGCAGAAUAUUUUGUUCCUUUAUGGGUCAGCCUGGGAUACAAAAUUAGAGAAACUUUGCAAUGAAAAA
RNAcentral lists this long non-coding RNA (1258 nucleotides) under Homo sapiens (human). RNAcentral describes it as "COX10 divergent transcript". Lineage: Eukaryota; Metazoa; Chordata; Mammalia; Primates; Hominidae. The record is from RNAcentral.